This 520-nucleotide ribosomal RNA is filed under the name Exophiala ellipsoidea. Its description in RNAcentral is "LSU rRNA". It matches the Rfam family "Eukaryotic large subunit ribosomal RNA", at positions 137 to 668 of the family's 3401-position model. Lineage: Eukaryota; Fungi; Ascomycota; Eurotiomycetes; Chaetothyriales; Herpotrichiellaceae. The record is from RNAcentral.
UCCGAGUUGUAAUUUGUAGAGGAUGUUUCGGGUACCGCCUCGGUUUAAAUUUCUUGGAACAGAAUGUCAGAGAGGGUGAGAAUCCCGUCUUGGACCGGCGGUAGGGCCCAUGUGAAACUCCUUCGACGAGUCGAGUUGUUUGGGAAUGCAGCUCAAAAUGGGUGGUAUAUUUCAUCUAAAGCUAAAUAUUGGCCAGAGACCGAUAGCGCACAAGUAGAGUGAUCGAAAGAUGAAAAGCACUUUGAAAAGAGAGUUAAACAGUAUGUGAAAUUGUUGAAAGGGAAGCGCUUGCAACCAGACUUGAGCGCGGCGGUUCCCCCUUCCUUCUGGUUGGGUUACUCCGCCGUGUCCAGGCCAACAUCGGUUCUGGGGGUCGGUCAAAGGCCCGGGGAAUGUAUCUACGCCUUCGGGCGUAGACUUAUAGCCCCGGGUGUCAUGCGACCUCCCGGGACCGAGGAACGCGCUUCGGCUCGGAUGUUGGCGUAAUGGUUGUAAGCGACCCGUCUUGAAACACGGACCA